CCUACGGGCGGCAGCAGUGGGGAAUUUUGCGCAAUGCUCGUAAGAGUGACGCAGCGACGCCGCGUGAGGGAUGAAGGUCUUCUGAUCGGAAACCUCUGUCAGCAGGGAAGAACGGUCACUGUGCUAAUCAGCAGUGAAUUGACGGUACCUGCAAAGGAAGCACAGGCUAACUCCGUGCCAGCAGCCGAGGUAAUACGGAGGGUGCGAGCGUUAAUCGGAAUUACUGGGCGUAAGGCGCUCGUAGGCGGUAUGUCAAGGCAAGGGUGAAAUCCCCGCGCUCAACGUGGGAACUGCCUUUGAAACUGGCAAACUGGAGUGUGUGAGAGGAUAGUGGAAUUCCCGGUGUAGGAGUGAAAUCCGUAGAUAUCUGGAGGAACUUCAGUGGCGAAGGCGACUAUCUGGAACAUAACUGACGCUGAGGAGCGAAAGCGUGGGUAGCAAACAGGAUUAGAUACCCUAGUAGUC
This 465-nucleotide ribosomal RNA is filed under the name uncultured bacterium. Its description in RNAcentral is "partial 16S ribosomal RNA". It matches the Rfam family "Bacterial small subunit ribosomal RNA", at positions 338 to 795 of the family's 1533-position model. The record is from RNAcentral.